This 201-nucleotide ribosomal RNA is filed under the name uncultured bacterium. RNAcentral's name for it is "partial 16S ribosomal RNA". It matches the Rfam family "Bacterial small subunit ribosomal RNA", at positions 335 to 527 of the family's 1533-position model. The record is from RNAcentral.
AUUCCUACGGGAGGCAGCAGUGGGGAAUAUUGGACAAUGGGGGGAACCCUGAUCCAGCCAUGCCGCGUGUGUGAAGAAGGCCUUAUGGUUGUAAAGCACUUUAAGCGAGGAGGAGGCUACUGAGACUAAUACUCUUGGAUAGUGGACGUUACUCGCAGAAUAAGCACCGGCUAACUCUGUGCCAGCAGCCGCGGUAAUAAU